Non-coding RNA from Alosa sapidissima (American shad), 653 nucleotides. The record is from the annotation of a RefSeq genome assembly. NCBI's taxonomy places the organism in Eukaryota, Metazoa, Chordata, Actinopteri, Clupeiformes, Clupeidae.
UAAAGAUGCAGAUGCAUGUCACUGAAGCGUGAGGAGGUUUUUGUACAGGCUCUAAAUAGAUUUGUACCACUGUGGUGGACUUUUGGUAGCGGCACGAAGCUUGAAGUUGGAAGUAACACCAGCCCCAAACUGACAGUCUUGCCCCCGUCAAGCGAAGAGCUCUCCAGCAAGAGUACUUCCACGCUGGUGUGCCUGGCCAACGGAGGCUUCCCGUCAGACUGGGCUCUCAGCUGGAAGGUGGAUGGGAACAGCAGGCCUGGGGUGGCCAGUCGCUGGGGUCCAGAGAAGAACGGCCUGUACAGCUGGAGCAGCACCCUGACCAUGCCUUCCCAGGAGUGGACCAAGGCUGCCUCAGUGACCUGUGAGGCCAAACAGGGCUCCCAGUCUCCAGUCACCAAGGUUAUAAAGAGAGGCGAAUGCUCUGACUAGAGUAGCCUACCUCCAUUUUCUACAGUCUGGGUGACUGAUUAUUGUAUGUGUCUUAUUUUUUUAUCGUUUAUGUACUCACUGUACUGUGCUUGCUGUCUUCAUUGACAUACAGCCACAGCCUUUACUGUUAUACUUGUUCUGCCUAAUCAAUGAGAAAAUGUUCUUGUGCCGUUUCUGUUGCAAAAUUUGACUUGGAAAAAAUAAAAGCUUUCUACUGAACCAUA